AAUAAUAAUACUAUUUAUGAAUUAAGACGGUUUCUGAAGUACGAGAAUCUACUUUGCAGUGGUUCACCUACAAUAAGUAGGUUAAAUGGAUUUGUCAGUAUAAUUGCUAUUCUUUCGUCCUACGUCAACAAGCCUUUUGGAUCUAUCUAGUUGAAGAAGCAAAUUUACAAUGUCGUCUUCUAAAAAUAUAUGUUGUAAAAGUGAAGAUUAAAAUGAUGUCAAUUG
This is a long non-coding RNA of Eurytemora carolleeae, 225 nucleotides long. RefSeq lists it as uncharacterized. The transcript has 2 exons. The record is from RefSeq and is a predicted model, not a curated record. NCBI's taxonomy places the organism in Eukaryota, Metazoa, Arthropoda, Copepoda, Calanoida, Temoridae.